This 450-nucleotide ribosomal RNA is filed under the name uncultured bacterium. RNAcentral describes it as "bacterial SSU rRNA". It matches the Rfam family "Bacterial small subunit ribosomal RNA", at positions 354 to 796 of the family's 1533-position model. The record is from RNAcentral.
GUGGGGAAUUUUGGACAAUGGGCGCAAGCCUGAUCCAGCAAUGCCGCGUGCAGGAAGAAGGCCUUCGGGUUGUAAACUGCUUUUGUACGGAACGAAACGGUCCGGGUUAAUACCCUGGGCUAAUGACGGUACCGUAAGAAUAAGCACCGGCUAACUACGUGCCAGCAGCCGCGGUAAUACGUAGGGUGCAAGCGUUAAUCGGAAUUACUGGGCGUAAAGCGUGCGCAGGCGGCUGUGUAAGACAGGCGUGAAAUCCCCGGGCUCAACCUGGGGAUUGCGCUUGUGACUGCAAGGCUGGAGUGCGGCAGAGGGGGAUGGAAUUCCGCGUGUAGCAGUGAAAUGCGUAGAUAUGCGGAGGAACACCGAUGGCGAAGGCAAUCCCCUGGGCCUGCACUGACGCUCAUGCACGAAAGCGUGGGGAGCAAACAGGAUUAGAUACCCGGGUAGUCC